AUAAGAGGUCCCGCCUGCCCGGUGACUAAGUUUAACGGCCGCGGUAUUUUGACCGUGCAAAGGUAGCGCAAUCACUUGUCUUUUAAAUGAAGACCUGUAUGAAUGGCACCACGAGGGCUCAACUGUCUCCUUUCUCCCGUCAAUGAAAUUGAUCUCCCCGUGCAGAAGCGGGGAUUACCCCAUAAGACGAGAAGACCCUAUGGAGCUUUAGGCACCAGAACAGACUAUGUUUAACACCUAAGCACAAAAGACAAAACCAAUUAGACCCUGUUUCAAUGCCUUUGGUUGGGGCGACCGCGGGGAAAUAAAAAACCCCCAUGUGGACCAGGAGUACCAUCACUCCCACAACCCAGGGCUACAGCCCUAAGUAACAGAACUUCUGACCAAUAAAUGAUCCGGCAUAAACCGAUCAACGAACCGAGUUACCCUAGGGAUAACAGCGCAAUCCCCUUCUAGAGUCCAUAUCGACAAGGGGGUUUACGACCUCGAUGUUGGAUCAGGACAUCCUACUGGUGCAGCCGCUAUUAAGGGUUCGUUUGUUCAACGAUU
Molecule: ribosomal RNA, 549 nt
Filed under: Heros severus 'Casiquiare'
Lineage: Eukaryota; Metazoa; Chordata; Actinopteri; Cichliformes; Cichlidae
Also listed under: 1 other name
Description: partial 16S ribosomal RNA
Rfam family: Bacterial large subunit ribosomal RNA
Source: RNAcentral